AAGGAGGAAACGAAACCAACAGGGAUUGCCCCAGUAACGGCGAGUGAAGCGGNAACAGCUCAAAUUUGAAAUCUGGCCCCCUAGGGGGUCCGAGUUGUAAUUUGCAGAGGAUCUUUUGGCGAGGCGCCGGCCGAGUGCCUGGAAUGGGACGCCGUAGAGGGUGAGAGCCCCGUACGGCCGGACGUCGAGCCUCUGUAAAGCUCCCUCGACGAGUCGAGUAGUUUGGNAAUGCUGCUCUAAACGGGAGGUAAACCCCUUCUAAAGNUAAAUACCGGCCAGAGACCGAUAGCGCACAAGUAGAGUGAUCGAAAGAUGAAAAGCACUUUGAAAAGAGAGUUAAACAGCACGUGAAAUUGUUGAAAGGGAAGCGCUUGUGGCCAGACUUGCGCCCGGUGGCUCAGCCGUCCCUCGUGGGCGGUGCACUCCGCCGGGCUCAGGCCAGCAUCAGCUCGCUGCUGGGGAGAAAGGCGGUGGGAACGUGGCUCUUCGGAGUGUUAUAGCCCGCCNCCAUGCCCUCCAGCGGGCUGAGGUUCGCGCCAAGGAUGCUGNCGUAAUGNCCAUCAGCGANCCGUCUUGAAACACGGACCAAGGAGUCGUCCUAACAUGCGAGUGUUCGGGUGCCAAACCCCUACGCGAAAUGAAAGUGAACGGAGGUGAGAGCUUCGGCGCAUCAUCGACCGAUCCUGAUGUUUUCGGAUGGAUUUGAGUAGGAGCAUGCUGGGCCGGACCCGAAAGAAGGUGAACUAUGCUUGGAUAGGUCCAAGCCAGAGGAAACUCUGGUGGAGGCUCGCANCGGUUCUGACGUGCAAAUCGAUCGUCAAAUCUGAGCAUGGGGNCGAAAGACUAAUCGAACCUUCUA
This 859-nucleotide ribosomal RNA is filed under the name Corollospora maritima. Its description in RNAcentral is "eukaryotic LSU rRNA". It matches the Rfam family "Eukaryotic large subunit ribosomal RNA", at positions 50 to 946 of the family's 3401-position model. Lineage: Eukaryota; Fungi; Ascomycota; Sordariomycetes; Microascales; Halosphaeriaceae. The record is from RNAcentral.